UACGUAGGUGGCAAGCGUUGUCCGGAGUUAUUGGGCGUAAGGCGCGCGCAGGCGGUGCGGUAAGUCUCUGGUGAAAGCGCUCGGCUUAACUGGGCGAGGGCCGGGGAGACUGCCACGCUGGAGGGGAGCAGAGGCGAGUGGAAUUCCGGGUGUAGUGGUGAAAUGCGUAGAGAUCCGGAGGAACACCAGUGGCGAAGGCGGCUCGCUGGGCUCUACCUGACGCUGAGGCGCGAAAGCGUGGGGAGCGAACCGG
This 253-nucleotide ribosomal RNA is filed under the name uncultured bacterium. RNAcentral describes it as "partial 16S ribosomal RNA". It matches the Rfam family "Bacterial small subunit ribosomal RNA", at positions 524 to 776 of the family's 1533-position model. The record is from RNAcentral.